UGGGGAAUAUUGCACAAUGGGGGAAACCCUGAUGCAGCGACGCCGCGUGAGCGAAGAAGGCUUUCGAGUCGUAAAGCUCUGUCCUAUGAGAAGAUAAUGACGGGAUCAUAGGAGGAAGCCCUGGCUAAAUACGUGCCAGCAGCCGCGGUAAUACGUAUGGGGCGAGCGUUGUCCGGAAUUAUUGGGCGUAAAGGGUACGUAGGUGGGUUUUUAAGUCAGGUGUCAAAGCGUGGAGCUUAACUCCAUUAAGCACUUGAAACUGAAAUACUUGAGUGAAGGAGAGGAAAGUGGAAUUCCUAGUGUAGCGGUGAAAUGCGUAGAUAUUAGGAGGAAUACCGGUAGCGAAGGCGACUUUCUGGACUUUUACUGACGCUCAGGUACGAAAGCGUGGGGAGCAAACAGG
RNAcentral lists this ribosomal RNA (403 nucleotides) under Verrucomicrobiota bacterium. RNAcentral's name for it is "Verrucomicrobia bacterium partial 16S ribosomal RNA". It matches the Rfam family "Bacterial small subunit ribosomal RNA", at positions 355 to 776 of the family's 1533-position model. The record is from RNAcentral. Lineage: Bacteria; Pseudomonadati; Verrucomicrobiota.